RNAcentral lists this ribosomal RNA (408 nucleotides) under uncultured bacterium. RNAcentral describes it as "partial 16S ribosomal RNA". It matches the Rfam family "Bacterial small subunit ribosomal RNA", at positions 28 to 526 of the family's 1533-position model. The record is from RNAcentral.
GACGAACGCUGGCGGCGUGCUUAACACAUGCAAGUCGAACGAAGUGGCGAACGGGUGAGUAACGCGUAAUCAACCUGCCCUUCAGAGGGGGACAACAGUUGGAAACGACUGCUCAUACCGCAUACUGAAGGAGGGGAUUGCGUCUGAUUAGCUAGUUGGAGGGGUAACGGCCCACCAAGGCGAUGAUCAGUAGCCGGGCUGAGAGGAGGAACGGCCACAUUGGGACUGGGACACGGCCCAGACUCCUACGGGAGGGAGACGGGGGGAAUCUUCGGAAAUGGGGGGAAACCUGACCGAGCAACGCCGCGUGAGUGAAGAGGGUUUUCGGAUCGUAAAGCUCUGUUGUUAAGGAAGCGGUACUUAACCAGAAAGGGACGGCUAACUACGUGCCAGCAGCCGCGGUAAUAC